RNAcentral lists this ribosomal RNA (465 nucleotides) under uncultured bacterium. RNAcentral describes it as "partial 16S ribosomal RNA". It matches the Rfam family "Bacterial small subunit ribosomal RNA", at positions 28 to 507 of the family's 1533-position model. The record is from RNAcentral.
GACGAACGCUGGCGGCGUGCUUAACACAUGCAAGUCGAACGGAAAGGCCCUGCUUGCAGGGUACUCGAAUGGCGAACGGGUGAGUAACACGUGGGUGAUCUGCCCUGCACUUCGGGAUAAGCCUGGGAAACUGGGUCUAAUACCGGAUAGGAGCCAUUUUUGGUGUGAUGGUUGGAAAGUUUUUUCGGUGUGGGAUGAGCUGGCGGCCUAUCAGCUUGUUUGUGGGGUAAUGGCCUACCAAGUCGGCGACGGGUAGCCGGCCUGAGAGGGUGGACGGCCACAUUGGGACUGAGAUGCGGCCCAGACUCCUACGGGAGGCAGCAGUGGGGAAUAUUGCACAAUGGGCGCAAGCCUGAUGCAGCGACGCCGCGUGGGGGAUGACGGCCUUCGGGUUGUAAACUCCUUUCGCGAGGGACGAAGCUUUUUGUGACGGUACCUAGAUAAGAAGCACCGGCUAACUACGUG